Molecule: transfer RNA, 70 nt
Filed under: Rattus norvegicus (Norway rat)
Lineage: Eukaryota; Metazoa; Chordata; Mammalia; Rodentia; Muridae
Rfam family: tRNA
About the family: Transfer RNA (tRNA) molecules are approximately 80 nucleotides in length. Their secondary structure includes four short double-helical elements and three loops (D, anti-codon, and T loops).
Source: Rfam by way of RNAcentral
GGGGAUUUAGCUCAGUGGUAGAGCGCUUGCCUAGCAAGCACAAUGCCCUGGGUUCAGUCCCCAGCUCCCA